Molecule: long non-coding RNA, 434 nt
Filed under: Bos taurus (domestic cattle)
Lineage: Eukaryota; Metazoa; Chordata; Mammalia; Artiodactyla; Bovidae
Description: long non-coding RNA NONBTAT018943
Source: RNAcentral
ACUCUGAACCUGGGCUGUCUUGCAAAUUGAGUGGUGCUCUCCCUGGACAAGGGGCUACAAAACAAGACUUAGUUAAGAUCUUGUUCUUUGGUGCUGAUACUGUUUGAUGGACUUUGUGAGCUAAUAACAGCUAUGCCAGGCCUUGGGGCACCUUGGUAUCCACCUGGUGUCCAAUUAGGGCCAUAAUCCUGUCCUGGAAAAAACUGACGAAAAUUUGGGGCAAGGGAGCGGGCAGGGGGAGUGAUCCUUGAGGAAUACUGUUGUGCUAACUAUAUAAAAUUGAGCUUGCAAGUGGCUGAGGGACUGACUGGACACUUUGGAUGUGGUUGGAAGAAUCUGUGGGGAGAACUGGCUGGUUGAGUUACAUUGUUAUAUUUGAACCUUUAUGUACAGAAAAUAUCAACAGUUGAAAUUGUUACCUGUCCACAGUUUUG